Long non-coding RNA from Passer domesticus (house sparrow), 357 nucleotides. RefSeq lists it as uncharacterized. The record is from RefSeq and is a predicted model, not a curated record. Lineage: Eukaryota; Metazoa; Chordata; Aves; Passeriformes; Passeridae. The transcript is spliced from 3 exons.
UGUGGGGCCACCAACACUCCAACCAUGGCCACCAAGGGAUCCCACCAGGAGUGAAGGAAAGGCACAGCCUGUCCAAGAGCUUUGAGGAAAGCCUCCACACCUGCCACAGCCCAAGAGGAACCUGAGUUUGUCAUCACUGCACAUCCCAGACUCAAGCAGGAGCAAGAUUGGAGGUUUAGAGUGUGGUUUCCCAGCCUGGUAUUCGCUGUGGUUUGGAGCAUUUCCAGCCAGAGACUCAGCUGGUACCGAGUGUGGAGCGCUGGAGUGUGAACUCAAUAAGGCAGCAGCGAAGGCAGGCACGUGGAAUGGGAUGGGAUCUGAUGGGAUGGGAUCUAAUGGGAUGGGAUGUAAUGGGAU